Sarcophilus harrisii (Tasmanian devil) is the source of this 96-nucleotide small nuclear RNA. The record is from Ensembl. NCBI's taxonomy places the organism in Eukaryota, Metazoa, Chordata, Mammalia, Dasyuromorphia, Dasyuridae.
AUUGCUUGCACAUGUAUACUAAAAUUAGAACAAUAGUGAUUAGCAUGGCCCCUCUGCAAGAAUGACAUUUAAAUUCAUAAGGCAAUCCAUAUUUUU